AUGGCACGGCUACCACACGCGUCGCCCAUCCCGCAUGCCGCCAAGCUGUAUAAAACCCUCCCCACCCCGUACACAAACCCUAGCUCCAUUCCCCUCGCUCUCUCACUCACCAUCUUCGAUUUGGACGCGCCCGAGUACCCAACCGCCAUGGUCGUCGUCUUAGCCACGACCAUCGCGGUCCCCACCGGCUUGGAGCUUGUGCGGCAGCUCCAUCGCGGUCGUCUGCAUCUUCUACUCUACCGAAUCAAGGCCGGGAAGUAUCACCCGCGACGCUCGCGCCUUCUUCCUCCGCCAUGGCUGUCUAACACCGUCGUUCGAUCUGCAUCAUCCUGGCAACCUCGGGCCUCCCCGAGCUCUCCAUCGGACUCGCAGUGA
RNAcentral lists this ribosomal RNA (375 nucleotides) under Triticum aestivum (bread wheat). RNAcentral's name for it is "partial small subunit ribosomal RNA". Lineage: Eukaryota; Viridiplantae; Streptophyta; Magnoliopsida; Poales; Poaceae. The record is from RNAcentral.